RNAcentral lists this ribosomal RNA (687 nucleotides) under uncultured Bacteroidota bacterium. RNAcentral's name for it is "bacterial SSU rRNA". It matches the Rfam family "Bacterial small subunit ribosomal RNA", at positions 29 to 703 of the family's 1533-position model. Lineage: Bacteria; Pseudomonadati; Bacteroidota. The record is from RNAcentral.
AUGAACGCUAGCUACAGGCUUAACACAUGCAAGUCGAGGGGAAACGACAUCGAAAGCUUGCUUUUGAUGGGCGUCGACCGGCGCACGGGUGAGUAACGCGUAUCCAACCUGCCCACCACUUGGGGAUAACCUUGCGAAAGUAAGACUAAUACCCAAUGAUAUCUCUAGAAGACAUCUGAAAGAGAUUAAAGAUUUAUCGGUGAUGGAUGGGGAUGCGUCUGAUUAGCUUGUUGGCGGGGUAACGGCCCACCAAGGCAACGAUCAGUAGGGGUUCUGAGAGGAAGGUCCCCCACAUUGGAACUGAGACACGGUCCAAACUCCUACGGGAGGCAGCAGUGAGGAAUAUUGGUCAAUGGGCGAGAGCCUGAACCAGCCAAGUAGCGUGCAGGAUGACGGCCCUAUGGGUUGUAAACUGCUUUUAUAAGGGAAUAAAGUGAGUCUCGUGAGACUUUUUGCAUGUACCUUAUGAAUAAGGACCGGCUAAUUCCGUGCCAGCAGCCGCGGUAAUACGGAAGGUCCGGGCGUUAUCCGGAUUUAUUGGGUUUAAAGGGAGCGUAGGCCGGAGAUUAAGCGUGUUGUGAAAUGUAGACGCUCAACGUCUGCACUGCAGCGCGAACUGGUUUCCUUGAGUACGCACAAAGUGGGCGGAAUUCGUGGUGUAGCGGUGAAAUGCUUAGAUAUCACGAA